This 951-nucleotide long non-coding RNA is filed under the name Ananas comosus (pineapple). RNAcentral describes it as "long non-coding RNA (ACOM_LNC028463)". The record is from RNAcentral. Lineage: Eukaryota; Viridiplantae; Streptophyta; Magnoliopsida; Poales; Bromeliaceae.
CUCCAGUACAGGUAACUAACUAUAAGGGCGCGUUUGGUUCGAGUUAUGUAAUAUUACAGAGCAUUUCGAUAUAUUCAGGUAUCUUAGAUUUCUAAAUGAGAUUACUAUUGAUGUUGUAUAAGCGCGUUUAGUUUAAUACAGUAAUCUAAUGCUGGAUUGCAGUGUUUAUAGUACUAUUAUGUUUGGUUCUGUUUAUAAAAUUGAGUAAUUUAGAGAAUAAAGUAAAAUCUAUUCCAAAAUUGCCCUUAGCCAUAUUUCGCCAAUCUUUUUUUUUUAGUGUUUACAAAUAAUAUUUUUUUACUAAAUUUUAUUUUAAAUAAUUUAAUUUUUUAAAUUUAAAUUUUAAAUUUUAAAUUUGAACAAAAAUAAAAAUUUAUUAUUUUAAUUUAAAAUAUAAAUAUGAAAUUUAUAAAUUUAAAAUCUAAAAUAUAAAUAUAAAAUUAAAAAUCUAAAUUUAAAAUUUAGAAUUUAAACUACAAAUUUGAAAUUUGAAAUUUGAAAUUUAAAAUUUAAAAUUUGAAAUUUAAAAAUUAAAAAUUAAAAUUUGAAAAAUAAUAAUUAAAAUUCAAAAUUUAAAAGUUGACCGUUCAAAAUUUUAAAUUAAUUUUUUUAAAAUGACGUAUUGAAAGGGUUUCGGGAGUUAGAGGGGUAAAAUUGUCAUUUUAUAUAUUAUGCAGUAUUACUGGCUUUCAGUAAUCCAAGAUACACACCCCUCUCUCGAUAAUAUUUUUAGUGUAAUCCUGCAUCUUUGUAAUGCUACAUUAAUGACUCGACUACAUACCAAAUGAACCAAACACGAUAAUUCUGACAGGAUUGCCUGUAAUCUUGCCAGGAUAACUCGAACCAAACGCACACAGAAUUAUCUAUAAUCCUGCCAGGAUAAUCCGAACCAAACGCAUCCUAAACGAAAGCAUAAGCGAAAGCGGGGCCAAACAUACCAUUUAAUUUAUA